This 266-nucleotide ribosomal RNA is filed under the name Acaulospora cavernata. Lineage: Eukaryota; Fungi; Glomeromycota; Glomeromycetes; Diversisporales; Acaulosporaceae. The record is from RNAcentral.
CAGACAUGCUCCGUGCGUUCAGCCGAAAGGUGUACUCGUACGGUUGCAGGCUAGAGUCUGUUCUUGGGGUCGGAUAAGGGUCUUGGGAAUGUGGCUUUCCUUCGGGAAAGUGUUAUAGACCUCGAUCGAUGUGGUGACCGGGAUUGAGGAUUGCAGCGGAUACCCUCGUGGUUUGUCACCUGACUUCUGACAGUUGCCCUCGCUUUCGACAGCUUGCUAACGUUGCGGGACUCGAUUGUCUAGAUGUCAGAUUGACUCUAUUUCGC